AAAUUGAAGAGUUUGAUCAUGGCUCAGAUUGAACGCUGGCGGCAGGCCUAACACAUGCAAGUCGAACGGUAACAGGAAGCAGCUUGCUGCUUUGCUGACGAGUGGCGGACGGGUGAGUAAUGUCUGGGAAACUGCCUGAUGGAGGGGGAUAACUACUGGAAACGGUAGCUAAUACCGCAUAACGUCGCAAGACCAAAGAGGGGGACCUUCGGGCCUCUUGCCAUCGGAUGUGCCCAGAUGGGAUUAGCUAGUAGGUGGGGUAACGGCUCAC
This 271-nucleotide ribosomal RNA is filed under the name Escherichia coli. RNAcentral describes it as "partial 16S ribosomal RNA". It matches the Rfam family "Bacterial small subunit ribosomal RNA", at positions 1 to 268 of the family's 1533-position model. Lineage: Bacteria; Pseudomonadati; Pseudomonadota; Gammaproteobacteria; Enterobacterales; Enterobacteriaceae. RNAcentral also lists the same sequence under 1 other name. The record is from RNAcentral.